This 1487-nucleotide ribosomal RNA is filed under the name uncultured bacterium. RNAcentral's name for it is "bacterial SSU rRNA". It matches the Rfam family "Bacterial small subunit ribosomal RNA". The record is from RNAcentral.
UAGAGUUUGAUCAUGGCUCAGAUUGAACGCUGGCGGCAUGGAUUAGGCAUGCAAGUCGAACGAAGUUAUUAAGCUUGCUUUUUAACUUAGUGGCGCAAGGGUGAGUAACACGUGAAUAAUCUACCUAAAACACUGAGAUAGCCUCUGGAAACGGAGAUUAAUAUUGGAUGACAUAUAUUUAUCGCAUGAUUUAUAUAUUAAAGAUUUAUUGGUUUUAGAUGAGUUCGCGUCCCAUUAGCUAGUUGGUAAGGUAAUAGCUUACCAAGGCUUUAACGGGCAGGUGGUCUGAGAGGAUGGUCACCCACACUGGAACUGAGACACUGUCCAGACUCCUACGGGAGGCUGCAGUCGAGAAUCUUCCGCAAUGGACGAAAGUCUGACGGAGCNAUGCCGCGUGAUUGAUGAAGGCCUUCGGGUUGUAAAGAUCUGUCACCUAGGACGAAACCAAUGACGGUACUAGGAGAGGAAGUGACGGCUAACUACGUGCCAGCAGCCGCGGUAAUACGUAGGUCACAAGCGUUAAUCGGAUUUAUUGGGCGUAAAGGGUCCGCAGGGUGUUUAUUAAGUUUGAUGUGAAAUCUCAAGGCUCAACCUUGAAACCGCAUUGAAAACUGAUAGACUAGAAUUUAAGAGAGGAAAGUGGAAUUUUUGGUGUAGCGAUGGAAUGCUUAGAUAUCAAAAGGAACAUCGAUGGCGAAGGCAGCUUUCUGGCUAUAAAUUGACCCUCAGGGACGAAGGCGUAGGUAGCAAACAGGAUUAGAUACCCUGGUAGUCUACGCGGUAAACGGUCUAUACUAGUUGUUAGGAGAUUUGACCCUCUUAGUGACUUAGCUAACGCGUUAAGUAUAGCGCCUGGGGAGUACGGUCGCAAGAUUAAAACUCAAAGGAAUUGACGGGGACCCGCACAAGCGGUGGAGCAUGUGGCUUAAUUCGAGGCAACGCGAAGAACCUUACCUGGUCUUGACAUAUAAAUGAAUAAAGUAGAGAUAUUUUAGUCCUUUUAGGACAUUUAUACAGGUGCUGCAUGGCUGUCGUCAGCUCGUGCUGUGAAGUGUUCGGUUAAGUCCCGGCAACGAGCGCAACCCACGUUGUUAGUUACUAACAUGUAAUGAUGAGAACUCUAACAAGACUGCCUAUGCAAGUAGGAGGAAGGUGUGGAUGACGUCAAGUCAGUAUGGCCCUUACGACCAGGGCUGCACACGUGCUACAAUGAGUGUUACAGAAAGAAGCAAUACUGCGAAGUGGAGCAAAUCUAUAAAAGCACUCUCAGUUCGGAUUGGAGUCUGCAACUCGACUCCAUGAAGUUGGAAUCGCUAGUAAAGGCGUAUCAGCUACGACGCCUUGAAUACGUUCCCGGGUCUUGUACACACCGCCCGUCACAUCAUGGGAGCUUCCUGCACCCGAAGUCACUGUCCUAACUGUUUUACAGAGGGAGGUGCCUAAGGUGUGGUCGGUGACUGGGAUGAAGUCGUAACAAGGUAACCGUA